GAUGAAGAACGCAGCGAAAUGCGAUAAGUAAUGCGAAUUGCAGAAUUCCAGUGAGUCAUCGAAUCUUUGAACGCACAUUGCGCCCUUUGGUAUUCCGAAGGGCAUGCCUGUUCGAGCGUCAUUAUCACCCCUCAAGCCCUCGGCUUGGUGUUGGACGGUUUGGUGGAGGCCCCCUCGGGGGCUCCUGCCCCUCCCAAAGACAAUGACGGCGGCCUCGUUGGACCCCCGGUACACUGAGUUCUUCACGGGACACGUAUCGGACACAUGGGUUUACGGGACACGGUCUGCCUCCCCUCAGGGAGAAUCUUUCUAAGGUCGACCUCGGAUCAGGUAGGGAUACCCGCUGAACUUAAGCAUAUCAAUAAGCGGAGGA
Molecule: unclassified non-coding RNA, 373 nt
Filed under: soil metagenome
Description: partial contains 5.8S ribosomal RNA, internal transcribed spacer 2, and large subunit ribosomal RNA
Rfam family: 5.8S ribosomal RNA (bases 1-121)
Source: RNAcentral